This 471-nucleotide ribosomal RNA is filed under the name uncultured bacterium. RNAcentral describes it as "bacterial SSU rRNA". It matches the Rfam family "Bacterial small subunit ribosomal RNA", at positions 37 to 507 of the family's 1533-position model. The record is from RNAcentral.
UGGCGGCAUGCCUUACACAUGCAAGUCGAACGGCAGCACGGGAGCAAUCCUGGUGGCGAGUGGCGAACGGGUGAGUAAUNUAUCGGAACGUGCCCAGUCGUGGGGAUAACGUAGCGAAAGCUACGCUAAUACCGCAUACGAUCUAUGGAUGAAAGCGGGGAUCGCAAGACCUCGCGCGAUUGGAGCGGCCGAUAUCAGAUUAGGUAGUUGGUGAGGUAAAGGCUCACCAAGCCGACGAUCUGUAGCUGGUCUGAGAGGACGACCAGCCACACUGGGACUGAGACACGGCCCAGACUCCUACGGGAGGCAGCAGUGGGAAUUUUGGACAAUGGGCGCAAGCCUGAUCCAGCAAUGCCGCGUGCAGGAUGAAGGCCUUCGGGUUGUAAACUGCUUUGUACGGAACGAAACGGUGAGCUCUAAUACAGUUUGCUAAUGACGGUACCGUAAGAAUAAGCACCGGCUAACUACGUG